Molecule: long non-coding RNA, 2013 nt
Filed under: Homo sapiens (human)
Lineage: Eukaryota; Metazoa; Chordata; Mammalia; Primates; Hominidae
Description: HSALNT0024952
Source: RNAcentral
CAUUCAUGUGCAUAUUUUCGUGAGGAUGUAGUUUUCAUUUCACUUGAGUAAAUGCAAAGCAGUGAGAUUGCUGGGUCAUACAAUCUCGUCCAGAAGUAAUAUACGUCAAGAAAGAAGAGAUUAUAAAUGUCUAGCAGGGACUGUUAGAAAUAUAUUUGGUGCCCUUGAUGAUUUCUCAAUCAAGACAGGGAACACUGAGGUACAACCACAUAGAGCAUCGGAGCUGCUACGGUAAAGGGGAAGGAGAGAUUCCUACUCUGGUUGAUGACACUGGAUCCUUGCAAGCUGGACAUCUCGGAACAACAGACACAGCUGUUCAACCUCAGAGCUUCUAGACUUCCCAUGUUCCAAGUCCACUUCUGCCGGCAGAAUAGAAACCUCGUCAGUUAUCACAACUCACAAACACCAAAAUCCUAGUUUCGCCAUGAACACUGAAAUUAUGAACUACUUCAAAAUAAUAGCUUCCGUGGUGACCAGAGCAACAAAUUUUACUAGGUUUGCCUUGAAGAUUUGAAAUAUCCACAGCACCUACGUGAAUUUGCUGUGGUGCCCCAGGCUCUACCUCACUGCACAGUUUGGAAACCACAGCUUUCAGUUGUCUUCUUUUUUUAAAAUUAUUUUUAUUUUUUGAGAUGGAGUCUUGCUCUGUCAACCAGGCUGGAGUGCAGUGGCGCGAUCUCCACCUGCUGGGUUCAAGCAAUUCUUGUGCCUCAGCCUUCCAAGUAGCUGGGGUUACAGGAGCCCACCGCAACGCCUGGUUAAUUUUUGUAUUUUUAGUAGAGACUGGGUUUUGCCCUGUCGGCCAGGCUAGUCUCGAACUCCUGUCCUCAAGUGAUCCACCCACCUCAGCCUCCCAAAGUGCUGGGAUUACAAUGUGAGCUACCGUGCCCAGCCUCAGUUGUCUUCUGACUCUGAGAAGUUAAGAUUCAACUGAUUUUUAAACUUGAGGUUUGAAAUUCCUUACUAUCCACUUUUGGGACCCACUGCACUAUCAGAGAAAAGCAAGAGUAUCAGAAACACAGGUGACUGUGGAUGGAAGAGCAGUAAGCAGUUGAAGUACUUUGCUGUUUUUCCCGUAGGGGAGGACAAAUGGAUUCCUGAGGUGCAGGGCAAUCAACAGAUGAGAUCCAAGAGUCAGAACCCUGGAAUGGACCACCAGAACUUUCCCAUGGAGCCCCAGGACUUCUUCCCCCAAUUCCUGCUGUUUCUCCUCCUCCCUGUAGCAGGCUUCUUAAAGCAGGUAGUUUGACCUGCUGAGCAUCACAUUGCAUAAAACAAUGCCGGAAGACUUGAGCAAUGGUGACUUACCAAGACAGCUGGCUGCCUAUGUUUAUGGCAUUUGGAAUCCACCGGGAACACAUACAUUUGUCACAGUGUGUUCCCGAAAUAAAUGAGGCUGUCUCCCAACUGGCCCCAUAUAAUCAACGCAGCCCAGCCCCACAUAGCUACUCCAAUGAAUAAUGCUUUGUUUGCCAAAUGCAAUGGGAACCUACCACAGGCCAGGGUGCUUCCAACAACAACAACAACAAGAAACUAAAGACAGUAAGGGAGAAAGAGUGGGUAUAAGCACUUAUCAAUACAUCAGACUGGAAACUCCUAGAAUGGAAUUAUUAGAUGCAUGUAUUAUUUGGGAGCAUUAUGACCAGGAAUAUUAAUAAAACUGUGAAUAGUAUGUAUUCUUUUCAUAAUUUUGACUUAGGGAAGAGGGCAAAAAAAUAACUGUAGCUAGUUUUAGACAUCCAUAAACAAAAUUCUGUAUUACUUUCAGGUAAGACAAGAGCAAUGACAACACAGCACCACAAGCCUUGCCUGGGGUAGAGAGAUAUUAUACAAGGGAAACUGUUUAUUUGUUAGAGAAUCAUACUCAUAAUUCCCUUAAGAGUCUCUUAAUUAAUUCCCCUAAUUAGAACUUUAAUGGGUCUCCCUUUUCAUUUUCUAACAUCUUACACUGGCUACAUCAUUGAAAUAGAAUGAAAAGAAUAAACCUCUCUGCUAUUUUUUUUUAAGGUUGGC